GUUCUUUUUGGGUUCAUAACUAUGAUGACUGGUGUUCACACUAUUAUGAUGUGUGUGUCCCUCAAUCCUGUUACAAUUCUGACAUAUUACCACACUGAUA
Mus musculus (house mouse) is the source of this 100-nucleotide non-coding RNA. The record is from Rfam. Lineage: Eukaryota; Metazoa; Chordata; Mammalia; Rodentia; Muridae.